CAGGAAGUCAUUGUUACU
Molecule: microRNA, 18 nt
Filed under: Oryzias latipes (Japanese medaka)
Lineage: Eukaryota; Metazoa; Chordata; Actinopteri; Beloniformes; Adrianichthyidae
Description: ola-miR-459-3p
Gene: ola-miR-459-3p
Source: miRBase by way of RNAcentral